CGCCAAGCUAUUAGGUGACACUAUAGAAUACUCAAGCUAUGCAUCCAACGCGUUGGGAGCUCUCCCAUAUGGUCGACCUGCAGGCGGCCGCGAAUUCACUAGUGAUUGCCAGAGCCCGCAAGGGCGACGGCGGAUAGUGGCAAACGGGAGCGGAACACAUUGGUAACCUACCUCGGGCUCGUGAACAACCACUGGAAACGGUGGCUAAUACACGAUAUAGAUGGGGGGUCUUCGGACAUUCCCAUUGAAAGCUUCGGCGGCACGAGAGGGGCCUAUGUCCUAUCAGCUUGUUGGUGAGGUAAUGGCUCACCAAGGCUAUGACGGGUACCGGGCGUGAGAGCGUGGCCCGGCUCACUGGGACUGAGACACUGCCCAGACACCUACGGGUGGCUGCAGUCAAGAAUCUUCCGCAAUGCACGAAAGUGUGACGGAGCAAUGCCGCGUGAUUGAUGAAGGCCUUCGGGUCGUAAAAAUCUUUUAUCAGGGACGAACAAAUGACGGUACCUGAUG
Molecule: ribosomal RNA, 510 nt
Filed under: uncultured bacterium
Lineage: Bacteria
Description: partial 16S ribosomal RNA
Rfam family: Bacterial small subunit ribosomal RNA
Source: RNAcentral